Long non-coding RNA from Calidris pugnax (ruff), 434 nucleotides. RefSeq lists it as uncharacterized. NCBI's taxonomy places the organism in Eukaryota, Metazoa, Chordata, Aves, Charadriiformes, Scolopacidae. The record is from RefSeq and is a predicted model, not a curated record. The transcript has 3 exons.
CCAUGAGAUUAUUUCUAACAAUAUCAUUGUCAUGGGAUCAUUUCACUGCAUGUGUUGAGGGACAGAGAAGUUCUUCAAGAUGUUUAUAUUUAAAGAUGACCACUGCCAGCAUGAACAACUUUUGCCUCUGCUUGAGCUUGGAGUUCAUAACGCCGUCUGAGCACGGUAAGCCCUGGAGUACCCAAACAAGGUGAACAUCCAGCUCCAGAAAUUUCAAACCCAGGCCUGAUGUCAUGGGUCUCCUCCCUGAGCUGGAGCCUUCACUGGCAGUAGAGGCUGAAGCUCCAAACAGAUUCUGGAAGCAAAGAUCUCUUGGGCAAGUUUCCUACAGAAGAAGGACAAGCCAGUCCCACCGAGCUGAAGAACCAAAUCCUUUACAUCCUAAUUGCAAUCUCAUGCUUAUUUUAAGCACUUUAGUACAACUGGAAGCCACA